Molecule: long non-coding RNA, 843 nt
Organism: Hylaeus anthracinus
Lineage: Eukaryota; Metazoa; Arthropoda; Insecta; Hymenoptera; Colletidae
Exons: 3
Source: RefSeq, a predicted model, not a curated record
UGCGAAGCAACGCCGUCGGCCGGGGAUUCGCGCGCGACGCUUGCCGUUUGCCGUCGUCGUCUGCGUGAUUUUAACGACGAGACAAGCGUCACGGCCACGAGGCCAGAUUUCCAACGGGUUCGACGCGACCGGUAACGAGCUCCUCUCUUCUUUUCAUCAUCGGCUAACAACGUUUUCAACAGCGACGGUUCGACUGCCUUCUCCUCUUUUUGCUCGAGGAAACUAUAAAAUGAAAUAUUCUGCGAUGAGAAAUAGAAUUGUCCAACUGAAAUAAUAACAGGAAUGAAUUAUUACACUUUGACGAGACGAAAGACAAAUUUAUCCAAGUCAAAGCUAUAAAGAUCACCCAUGAAUUCGAUUCAGUGGUAUUAAUAACUAAAUCUUGUCAUCGAUUGGAAGAUACGGAUUAAGGCGAGGAGAUAUCCACGGAACGAUAGGGGGCAAAAUACGGUAAUGAGAUUAGAAACCACCCUGUUGGCAGAAUAAACGGCCUGGAGGUAACACACAUUUCUAAGGUCUCUACAGACCAAGAUUCCGCCGUUGUUCGAUUCUGGGGCCACCGUAUCGCCUAAUAAAGCUAAUGCAGAUAAUAAGAUCUAUAAACAAUAGAGUUUCUAGUUUGGCUGGGACGUUACGUGCAUCUGUGUACUUGUUCGCUGAAAGGUAUUGCAAAGUCGUAGUUGAGUAAAUAUUGUAAACAAAUCGUGAACAAUGAUAAAGGUCGACUCUGUUUUUUUAAUGUUGCACUGUCUUUCGUCACCUUUCGUUCAUUCACCGCGUACUUCCUCACACGUUCUUGUAUUCUUACAUGACCUUUAUAUGUUUAAUAAAUAGUUCUUCACA